RNAcentral lists this ribosomal RNA (253 nucleotides) under uncultured bacterium. RNAcentral's name for it is "partial 16S ribosomal RNA". It matches the Rfam family "Bacterial small subunit ribosomal RNA", at positions 524 to 776 of the family's 1533-position model. The record is from RNAcentral.
UACGAAGGGGGCUAGCGUUGCUCGGAAUUACUGGGCGUAAAGGGAGCGUAGGCGGAUAGUUCAGUCAGAGGUGAAAGCCCAGGGCUCAACCUGGGAACUGCGUCCGAUACUGGAUGGCUUGAAUCCGGGAGAGGGAUGCAGAAUUCCAGGUGUAGCGGUGAAAUUCGUAGAUAUUCGCAAGAACACCAAUGGCGAAGGCAGCUCGCUGGGACGGUACUGACGCUGAGACGCGAAAGCGUGGGGAGCAAACAGG